AUUGAACGCUGGCGGCAUGCCUUACACAUGCAAGUCGAACGGCAGCACGGGAGCUUGCUCCUGGUGGCGAGUGGCGAACGGGUGAGUAAUAUAUCGGAACGUACCCUAGAGUGGGGAUAACGCAGCGAAAGUUGCGCUAAUACCGCAUACGAUCUACGGAUGAAAGUGGGGGAUCGCAAGACCUCAUGCUCAUGGAGCGGCCGAUAUCUGAUUAGCUAGUUGGUGGGGUAAAGGCCUACCAAGGCAUCGAUCAGUAGCUGGUCUGAGAGGACGACCAGCCACACUGGAACUGAGGCACGGUCCAGACUCCUACGGGAGGCAGCAGUGGGGAAUUUUUGGGACAAUGGGGGCAACCCUGAUCCAGCAAUGCCGCGUGAGUGAAGAAGGCUCGG
This 392-nucleotide ribosomal RNA is filed under the name uncultured bacterium. RNAcentral describes it as "bacterial SSU rRNA". It matches the Rfam family "Bacterial small subunit ribosomal RNA", at positions 30 to 419 of the family's 1533-position model. The record is from RNAcentral.